AAUUAUCUUCCAGUGCACGCACAAAAACAAUAAAAACUGUUAGUUUGCAAAAGAAAAUCACGUUGAUGACAACGUUUUUGUUCCACCCGACAACAUCAAUGAUGGGAACCGCUUAAACGAAUAAAAUCAAAAAAUGCAAAUGAGGUUCAAAAUUAAAUAUAAAUUAUCUUACCUUCAACACUUACAGCCGAAUUGGCUUCAAUUCGACCACCGUUGGGUCUCACACAGUACUGUUUAGGAGCAGUAGUUUUCACUUUGAAUCCGAUCGGAUAAGGUGCAGUAUUGCGAAGUUCUAAAUCACAUUUUACUAGUCGUGUAAGUGGUCGAGGAAACACAAUUGUACUAUCACAUUCAAGAGCCAUGAUUUACGGGAAAGGCGAGUUUGUUGCGAGAGGUGGUACUACUUUACUCUGCGAAGUACCAUUUCGCAGUGUAGCCAAAAAUCGUGGCUUUACGUCACACAUACUUGUGUGUGAUUUUCCGAGGCUGAGCAAAGAUUAUGGUAAUAUAUGGAUACUGAAAUAAAAGGAGAUAAUUAU
This is a non-coding RNA of Schizosaccharomyces pombe (fission yeast), 539 nucleotides long. The record is from the annotation of a GenBank genome assembly. NCBI's taxonomy places the organism in Eukaryota, Fungi, Ascomycota, Schizosaccharomycetes, Schizosaccharomycetales, Schizosaccharomycetaceae.